AGCAAUUCUCCUGCCUCAGCCUCUCGAGUAGCUGGAAUUACAGGCGCCUGCCACCACACCCAGCUAAUUUUUUGUAUUUUUAGUAGAGAUGGGCUUUCAUCAUGUUGGCCAGGCUGGUCUUGAACACCUGACCUCAGUUGAUCCACCCUCCUCGGCCUCCCAAAGUGCUGGGAUUACAGGCAUGAGGCACUGCACCCGGCCA
Molecule: long non-coding RNA, 202 nt
Filed under: Homo sapiens (human)
Lineage: Eukaryota; Metazoa; Chordata; Mammalia; Primates; Hominidae
Description: non-protein coding lnc-ZNF599-6:1
Source: RNAcentral